UUCGUCACACUAUCAUUAACUGAAUCCAUAGGUUAAUGAGGCGAACCGGGGGAACUGAAACAUCUAAGUACCCCGAGGAAAAGAAAUCAACCGAGAUUCCCCCAGUAGCGGCGAGCGAACGGGGAGGAGCCCAGAGCCUGAAUCAGCAUGUGUGUUAGUGGAAGCGUCUGGAAAGGCGCGCGAUACAGGGUGACAGCCCCGUACACAAAAGCGCAUGUGCUGUGAGCUCGAUGAGUAGGGCGGGACACGUGGUAUCCUGUCUGAAUAUGGGGGGACCAUCCUCCAAGGCUAAAUACUCCUGACUGACCGAUAGUGAACCAGUACCGUGAGGGAAAGGCGAAAAGAACCCCGGCGAGGGGAGUGAAAAAGAACCUGAAACCGUGUACGUACAAGCAGUGGGAGCCCC
RNAcentral lists this ribosomal RNA (406 nucleotides) under Salmonella enterica subsp. enterica serovar Tennessee. RNAcentral's name for it is "bacterial LSU rRNA". It matches the Rfam family "Bacterial large subunit ribosomal RNA", at positions 139 to 583 of the family's 2925-position model. The record is from RNAcentral. Lineage: Bacteria; Pseudomonadati; Pseudomonadota; Gammaproteobacteria; Enterobacterales; Enterobacteriaceae.